This 1369-nucleotide long non-coding RNA is filed under the name Anser cygnoides (Swan goose). RNAcentral describes it as "lncRNA (ENSACDG00005016068.1)". Lineage: Eukaryota; Metazoa; Chordata; Aves; Anseriformes; Anatidae. The record is from RNAcentral.
GUCUUCUGCUUCGAGUGCGUCAAGAGCCGCUACGACACGCGCCAGCGCAAGUGCCCCAAGUGCAACGCCGCCUUCGGCGCCCACGACUUCCACCGCGUCUACAUCAGCUGAGCCCCCGGGCCGCCCCCGGCACCCAUGGGUGCUCCCCCACCAUUCACGGGUGCUCCCUGACCAUCCCUGGGUGCUCUGCGGUCAACAUUGGGUCUUGGAGGUUGGUCAACGCCACCCUGGAGGACCGUGGAACCCUUUGUGUGUGCGUUAGGUGAAGACCAUGGGUGCUCCCCGACCAUCCCUGGGUGCUCUCUGGUCAACGUUGGGUCUUGGAGGUUGGUCAACGCCACCCUGGAGGACCACGGAACCCUUUGCACCUGUGUUCGAUGAAGCCCACGGUGCUCCCCGACCAUCCCUGGGUGCUCCACGGCCAACGUUGGGUCUUGGAGGUUGGUUGACGCCACCUUGGAGGACCGCAGUUGGCUUUGCGUUGGCGUCAGUUGAACCCCAGGGUGCCCCGUGCCACCCAUGGGUGCCCCCCGGUGACCGACGGGUGCUGUGGCCCCGCCCCCUGCCCCUCCCCCCCCCCAAUAAAGUGCUUGGAGCCGUAGGCGUGGCUGCGCGUGGCCUCCUUGGGGGGGGGGGGUGAGACCAUAGAGAGGGGGGAAGAAGGGCCAGAGGGGCUGCGGGGCCAUAGAGACCGGGGAGGUGGGCUAGAGUGUCCCGUGGGCACGUGGGGCCGUGCUGGCAACCAUAGAGAGGUGGAGGACUUCAAACCAUAGAGUGCUGGAGGACCUCCCUUCUAGCACGGUUUAACGGAAGACCAUAGAGUCCCGGAGGCCCUCCCUCCUAGAGUCCACGCAGUCACCAUAGAGUCCUGGAGGACCUUCCUAGAACGCCCUCCCCGUGACCAUAGAGUCCUGGAGGACCUUCCUAGAACGCCCUCCCCGUGACCAUAGAGUCCUGGAGGACCUUUUUCCUAGAGAGUCCAACCCGUGACCAUAGAGAUCUGGAGGACUUGUCAUGCAGUGACCAUAGAGUCCUGGAGGACCUCCCUCCUAGAGAGUCUCCACAGUGACCACAGAGUCCCGGAGGACCUUACUCCUAGAGAGCCCACCUCGUGACCAUAGAGACCUGGAGGACUGCCGAAUGGAACCCAAGGGGUGACCAUAGAGAUGUGGAGGACCUUCUUCCUAGGGCGCCCACCCCGUAACCAUAGAGAUCUGGAGGACUUUCCUCCUAGAGAGCACAAGGGGCGACCAUAGACAGCUGGAGGACCUCCCUCCUAGAAAGGCUGCCCGGUUGUUAGCGUAGCAACCACAUAAGCACCAAGUGAUUCUAUGAAGGUGCUUUAUUCAGCGCUGGAAGCCGGGGCAGG